RNAcentral lists this ribosomal RNA (301 nucleotides) under uncultured bacterium. RNAcentral describes it as "partial 16S ribosomal RNA". It matches the Rfam family "Bacterial small subunit ribosomal RNA", at positions 509 to 807 of the family's 1533-position model. The record is from RNAcentral.
CAGUCGCCACGGUAAUACGUAGGUGGCAAGCGUUGUCCGGAAUUAGUGGGCGUAAAGGGCUCGCAGGCGGUUUCUUAAGUCUGAUGUGAAAGCCCCCGACUCAACCGGGGAGGGUCAUUGGAAACUGGGAAACUUGAGUGCAGAAGAGGAGAGUGGAAUUCCACGUGUAGCGGUGAAAUGCGUAGAGAUGUGGAGGAACACCAGUGGCGAAGGCGACUCUCUGGUCUGUAACUGACGCUGAGGAGCGAAAGCGUGGGGAGCGAACAGGAUUAGAUACCCCCGUAGUCCCUGUCUCUUAUAC